This 29-nucleotide non-coding RNA is filed under the name Rattus norvegicus (Norway rat). Lineage: Eukaryota; Metazoa; Chordata; Mammalia; Rodentia; Muridae. The record is from RNAcentral.
UCAAGUCCCUAGAUGGCAUGCUGGUGAAC